RNAcentral lists this non-coding RNA (45 nucleotides) under Schistosoma mansoni. Lineage: Eukaryota; Metazoa; Platyhelminthes; Trematoda; Strigeidida; Schistosomatidae. The record is from RNAcentral.
AUUCAUCUGACGAGUCCCAAAUAGGACGAAACGCGUGUCCUGCAU